ACGCUGGCGGCGUGCUUAACACAUGCAAGUCGAACGAUGAAGCCUAGCUUGCUAGGUGGAUUAGUGGCGAACGGGUGAGUAAUACGUGAGUAACCUACCUUUAACUCUGGGAUAAGCCUGGGAAACUGGGUCUAAUACCGGAUACGACCAAUCUCCGCAUGGGGUGUUGGUGGAAAGCGUUAUGUAGUGGUUAUAGAUGGGCUCACGGCCUAUCAGCUUGUUGGUGAGGUAACGGCUCACCAAGGCGACGACGGGUAGCCGGCCUGAGAGGGUGACCGGCCACACUGGGACUGAGACACGGCCCAGACUCCUACGGGAGGCAGCAGUGGGGAAUAUUGCACAAUGGGCGCAAGCCUGAUGCAGCGACGCCGCGUGAGGGAUGACGGCCUUCGGGUUGUAAACCUCUGUUAGCAGGGAAGAAGAGAGAUUGACGGUACCUGCGGAGAAAGCGCCGGCUAACUACGUGCCAGCAGCCGCGGUAAUACGUAGGGCGCGAGCGUUGUCCGGAAUUAUUGGGCGUAAAGAGCUUGUAGGCGGUUUGUCGCGUCUGCUGUGAAAGGCCGGAGCUUAACUCCGUGUAUUGCAGUGGGUACGGGCAGACUAGAGUGCAGUAGGGGAGACUGGAAUUCCUGGUGUAGCGGUGGAAUGCGCAGAUAUCAGGAGGAACACCGAUGGCGAAGGCAGGUCUCUGGGCUGUAACUGACGCUGAGAAGCGAAAGCAUGGGGAGCGAACAGGAUUAGAUACCCUGGUAGUCCAUGCCGUAAACGUUGGGCACUAGGUGUGGGGGACAUUCCACGUUUUCCGCGCCGUAGCUAACGCAUUAAGUGCCCCGCCUGGGGAGUACGGCCGCAAGGCUAAAACUCAAAGAAAUUGACGGGGGCCCGCACAAGCGGCGGAGCAUGCGGAUUA
RNAcentral lists this ribosomal RNA (910 nucleotides) under uncultured bacterium. Its description in RNAcentral is "bacterial SSU rRNA". It matches the Rfam family "Bacterial small subunit ribosomal RNA", at positions 33 to 948 of the family's 1533-position model. The record is from RNAcentral.